Bos taurus (domestic cattle) is the source of this 57-nucleotide microRNA precursor. Lineage: Eukaryota; Metazoa; Chordata; Mammalia; Artiodactyla; Bovidae. The record is from Ensembl.
CAGGCUCUGGAACACGGGAGCUUUAGUAGCUGCGGCUCCCGGGCUCUAGAGCAUGGG